Electrophorus electricus (electric eel) is the source of this 1337-nucleotide long non-coding RNA. RefSeq lists it as uncharacterized. Lineage: Eukaryota; Metazoa; Chordata; Actinopteri; Gymnotiformes; Gymnotidae. The record is from RefSeq and is a predicted model, not a curated record.
AUGUGGUGUCGCUUUGUGAGCAAAACAUGCAUGGAUUGUACUUUCUGUAUGUGAGAAAACUGACACUGGUGUGGUCUGAGCGUUGUUCAGGAUGUUUAACAUUCAUGCACUUUAUACAAACUCAUCUUUUAAUUCGCACCAUUUAAUUCGACACUUAAAUGAACACGUGAUAUUGGGAUGGAAACUAAUGACUGAGGUCACAUGCAAACAACAUCCCCGAAUGAUGUUGAUCUCCGCCAUGACAUCAUCAGGCUUCGACGCUGUAUGCACGCGUGUCGUCGGAGGCAGCCGCGAGCACGCACGUACAGCUGCGAGACCAUGUCUGCGUCGCCUCGUGCAUCUGGAAGCGAAGACGAGGCGUCGCGCGAAUCUCCGUUUCCGCCGGAUCAGUACGAGUAUAACAUAUGUUACAACUACUUCAGUUUGGACCGUCGCGCACCGAAGAUUCCGGGCUGCUCUCACACGUUCUGUGAGGAGUGCUUAAACACGAUGUACGUCCGCGAGGACAGUCCGAGGCGCGUGGCAUGCCCGUUAUGCCAGAUCGUCGGAUACGUAACCUCCCCAACCAAACCAAGCUGGCGGAAGCCCUCCCUCUGUUUUCCAGGCACAGCCUGUGCUCGAGCUCACCACGAGGGGCACCAGAGACUGCGGCGUUUGCUUCCGCAUGCCACGAGCGCAUUCACGAGAGGCGGCAGACGUGCAACCGCGUGAUCUUUACCGCAGACUGCGUCUGCGUCAUCUUUGCGUUUCUGUGCACGCUAGUGCUGUUGAUCAUUGGACUGAUGUUCGUGAUUAACUCCAGCAAGCCACUGUCGCCCGUGGGGCCCAUCUGCCUCUCCUUAGGGAGCGUGAUAUUGAUGUUCUCUGUUGUUGUCACGUGGUUGUUAUGUUGGAUUAAGUACCAUCUCGAGCCCAAUGACGGGCGCUGGGAGAAACGCACACAUAUAUAUAUAGUCAGAGCAUAAAGUUGAUAUUACGUUGUAGCUCAUCGGAAAGGAAUGUUUUGUCGCUGUCAGUAUAGAACGUCAGCCUGCAAACUCACAAACAAACCAGCCGAGGAGACUGCAGUGUUACGAAAACGAACCCUUUAUGUCAAUAUGUGCGCCUUAAAGUGGACACAUUAAAACCGAGCACAUCCAGCACGUGAACUCUGAGGGUUUUGCUGUUGUGUCAGUGCCGCGAGGAUCCGUUCGGGUCAGGCGAGCGCCCAAAUGCAGUCCACAGAUGUCAGCUUACUCUUUGUUAGACGAACAGUAGGAGUACGGUGAAUUUACAAAAACUCGCAUAUUUAUGCAUGUUACAGAGAUGACCAUUUGAAAUAAAGUUAUUUAGGAUCA